AUUGGACGCUGGCGGCAGGCCUAACACAUGCAAGUCGAACGGUAACAGGAAGAAGCUUGCUUCUUUGCUGACGAGUGGCGGACGGGUGAGUAAUGUCUGGGAAACUGCCUGAUGGAGGGGGAUAACUACUGGAAACGGUAGCUAAUACCGCAUAACGUCGCAAGACCAAAGAGGGGGACCUUCGGGCCUCUUGCCAUCGGAUGUUCCCAGAUGGGAUUAGCUAGUAGGUGGGGUAACGGCUCACCUAGGCGACGAUCCCUAGCUGGUCUGAGAGGAUGACCAGCCACACUGGAACUGAGACACGGUCCAGACUCCUACGGGAGGCAGCAGUGGGGAAUAUUGCACAAUGGGCGCAAGCCUGAUGCAGCCAUGCCGCGUGUAUGAAGAAGGCCUUCGGGUUGUAAAGUACUUUCAGCGGGGAGGAAGGGAGUAAAGUUAAUACCUUUGCUCAUUGACGUUACCCGCAGAAGAAGCACCGGCUAACUCCGUG
Molecule: ribosomal RNA, 490 nt
Filed under: uncultured bacterium
Lineage: Bacteria
Description: partial 16S ribosomal RNA
Rfam family: Bacterial small subunit ribosomal RNA
Source: RNAcentral